UUUCCUUACAUUCAGGCCUUUAAACUAAAAAAAAGUACUUACUAUAUUUAAUAUUUAUUAUUUGUCUUCUAAUUCCAAUAUCUGAAGCCUUUUGCAUCAAACUUUGCUGUCUAUUGUUUCAACUACUUCUCAUUCUACUACUUGUUUCCUCAUACAUUUUGUGAGUUUCAACUACAAGUUCAUAUCUGUUAGAGUUUUAUCUUGUUCAAAAUUUUCAAGCCCUAUAUUGGCAAUUUAUGCCUCCAGUGACUAUUUGCUUCUGCCAAACAUUGGGAAAACUCAUCAAUGCAGAAACACUUUAAAUUAAAAUUUUUUUUUUGCCUGAAGUUUUUUGGAUAUACCCAGGUAAUGUGAGAUUGGGAUACAAGUUCAGGGAGGGUCAGUUUGUGGAUAUCAAUUUCAAAGGGUGAUUUUAUGUUUCCUUCUACCCAAUGCCACAUUUUAUAAUAAGCAAUUUCCCUUGCUGUCCCCUGGAUUUAUUUUUAGUUCACAUACACCUUGAGGGUUUAGGACUUUUGGGUGCCUGAUUUAUUAAAGCUUCUCCUAUUAGAUUCCCCAUCUUGGUCAGGUGCCUCCAGGAUUUAUUUCCUGUUGGCUGUGAAUACAGAAGCUCAAGUUCACCUUCAUGGGUAAAUGUUCUCAAAGUGAAAGCCAGAUUCAAGGCUCAGCUUACCUCUCUGGAUCCCUAUGGCUUUUGAGGAUACUUUCUUUCUUGCCAAUACAUUGAUGUAUUUAAAAAUAUUUUUUACUAUUUUAAUUAUUUUUCAGUAAGAGUGUUGGCCACAGUGUAUAGUGUGUCAUAUUAUUGGAAAAUGGAUUUUUUUGUCAUUGAAAAUAAUUUAUUCCUAUAAUAAAUUUAAGGUCAGCAUGAAAAGGAUGAAGAGGUCCUUCAUGAAUGAUAAGACAGUAUAAAUAUAAGAUCAUGGACUAUAUUACUCAUUUAUAUACUGUUAUACCUUUUUACUGUACACUCUGUUAUGUGAGGUGUUGUGUUACAUUAUCAGAGAUGUCAAUAAGUAUACUGAAAGCUUCUCAAAUUUGAAAGGUAAUUUGUAAUUUAUAGAUAUAAGUGAUACAUUCAAUGAGGGUGGUACAAACUAAAUAUUCAUACCCAAUUGAGGAAUUAAAGCAAAUUGUAAAGAAGGUUCUAUUUUAUCUCAAUCUAUAGGGUAGACAGAGAGAGAUGAGUAGAAGUUUAUUCCAGGUAGAAAACAAAGAGCAUAAACAAUGGUGUAAAGGUAAAAACAAAACAAAAAAACACCUAAAAAACAAGGAAUGGCUUUAGAUACUGUAUGUUUGAUGGAUUAUAAGCUAUUUUAAGGAAAUAGUUAAUGAUAAGAAUGGAAAGUCAGGCAAAGGCUUGAGUAUGAAGAACCAUAAGUUCUAGACUGAGCAAUUUGAACUUAAAUUAGUAGGGGGACUGAGAGUUACUAAUAUAUUAUAAACUUUUAGUUUGAUACAGUUUAAAAUGGGUCAUUUAUGGGAGGCUGAAUAUAGAAUCAAUAUUUAUUCACUUAAACUCUAGCAAUUAUAGACAGGGGUAAAUGAAAAUGGGAGGAAGCUUGGGAAUGUGAAACAAGUAAAACACUAUUUUACUCAGCGUUUUUGAUAUGAGUAAUCUCCAUUCUGAUGAUGGCUUGAUGUUGUUUACAUAAUUACUUUCUUCCAUUACUUAGAAAAUUAUUUAUUUAUUUUCUGAAUAAGUUUGAAACCACAUCUUGGUGUUUCCUUUCAUGCGUAAGAAUGAAUCCUGAGUCAUAAUUCGAAGGACACAUUAUUUAGGAACUAAUUUCUCCCCUUAUUUUAAAGAGAAAGAACUAGACUGGUUUUUGCUCACAUUGAUUUGAUCAUUUUAUCUAUUUUUCAGUGGAAUAGUGCAUCUCUAUACAUUUCUUAGGCCACCUCAUUUUGUUAAUGAGACAAAGGAUAAUUAAAUGUCAAUAAGGAUUUGUGGUAUCAAAAUUCAAGGUCCACUUUAUAAAUGCUAAGGAUCAGAAAGUUAUCCAAGGGACACUAUAGGCAUAUUAUGAUGCAAUUUUUAUUUCUGAACUGAGAUGAAAAAUGGGAAUGUGUGUCUUUCUUUACUCUAAUACCAAAACCUCAUUAGGCUUGGCCAGCAUGUGGGGAAAUGACACAGCUGAGGCUUUCUCAGGCAAAAUACAUUAACAUUACAAAUGAAAUUUGGUCUGAAUUUAUCUCAAGGAGCAUUUCUCUCAAAGGUAUAGUAGGAAUUACAUUAGCAGUGCAGUUAUUAAGCUUUGUUGAAUAAAUCUGUUUUAGAAAAGGAAAGUGACCUUUUGUAUCUCUCAAGGGGUAAUAGCAUUACAUAUGUAUUUAAAAUAAUACUAAUUGGGACAGGACGUCAGAUUUACAAAAAUAUGGGAGGAAAUUGGAUAUUCAGUUAGAAAGUAUAAAGUAUCUUAAACAAAGCAUUUCAUAAUAUUAAAUAUCUGACUUUUAUUACUUCCUAAUCAAACAACUCUAUCUUCUGUUAUAGGAUGUAGAUGGAGAGUGAAGGUCAGAAAAAUACUGUUGAAAAUCCUCAUUUUUGUACUUGAAAUAUGGGCACAAUUUGUAACCUAAACUCCUCAGUAAUUACUGUAACUGUUGUUUUUCUUCAAUGAACAGACUUACAUAUUUUUCACAUUUUGACAUGAAAUCUUGUGUUCCCUAAGAAGCAAUGUCAAAAAAUAAAUACGUCCUAGUUUUUAUGCUUCUUUGUGGUCAUUUUCUAUGGGAGUGAUAACACAGUCAGAUGUGCUAGCAUUCAGAUGCUUGAAUUAACUUAAAUUUUAAUAUCUAAUGCUGGCUCAAAUAUUUUAAAAAGAGAUAACAAUGUAAUAUAGAACAUUAGUUUACACAAAGAAAGACUAUUAAAUGCCAGAUAAUGAAAUCAAAGGCGGUUGCACACUGCCAAAUCUGUUGAAGAUAUUAUGACAUUUCAAAGCUAGGAAAAUUGUAUAACAGAUUCAUGGGCUUACAGGAUUAUUACUCAAGUGCCAAGCAUCCAUCUAUCAAACGGACGACUUUCAAGAGAAGGUACCCAAGAGGUCAAGAACAGAAGCAUGGAUUAUAAAAAGCAACACGUCGUCAUGCUGCAUGACCAAAAUCAACUCAGAAGACUGAGUGGGAAAACAUUGGAAUUCAAAUUUUCAUUUUGAUGAUGUUAUAAGUUCUAUACCUUAAUUGCAUGAAUAAAAAAACAGUAUUUAUGAAAAUGAAAACAAUUUAA
Pipistrellus kuhlii (Kuhl's pipistrelle) is the source of this 3232-nucleotide long non-coding RNA. RefSeq lists it as uncharacterized. The record is from RefSeq and is a predicted model, not a curated record. Lineage: Eukaryota; Metazoa; Chordata; Mammalia; Chiroptera; Vespertilionidae. The transcript is spliced from 2 exons.